CGGGCGGAGAAGAGGACUGUCGGAAAGGAGGGCGUGAACUAGAGGCGCGCGUGCGCAGAAGGCACAGAGGCCGUUCCUUGGAUAAGUUGGUACUAUGUCAACUGAAACUGUUAUUGGAAGUGCUAAGAGAAGUGGGUGAACGCAGGUAUACCUACUGGAAAGCUAUUGUAACUUUGUAGACAUCAGUAAUGAAUGAUUUGGACCAGAAUAAUAGCAAAGGACAUGAAAAUGUGUGGAAGGAUUUCAAAUAUGUAGAGUUUACUGGAUAACUGGAUGCAGAAGAAACAGAAAAUAAUGAAAAACUGGGAAGCAACUGCUGCUGAAUACUCUCAAAAGGCUUAAAAUCGAGGGCAGCUUUCGUCCGCCCGGCUAGCUCAGUCGGUAGAGCAUGGGACUCUUAAUCCCAGGGUCGUGGGUUCGAGCCCCACGUUGGGCGUUGCGUUUUUGCAUGCUUAAAUUUUAUUAAUGUUUUCAAAACUUCAACUCUCAAAUGUUUGCCAGUUCCGUUAUAACAUUCUUAACUAAUACGGAUUCUUACGCAAAUGAAAUUUAAGUGCUUUCUUAAUCGUCUCUGCAAGAAACACGGUUCUUAAAUGCGCUUGCGCACUCCAAAGCCCAGGCCUACGCCCACGGCUCGGGUUUAAACAAGGAACAAGACUAUUUUUUUAGUGCUAGCGUCCAUAGUUGCUGGUAGGGGGCAGUUGUUCUUUGUUUCUUUUGGG
Molecule: long non-coding RNA, 722 nt
Organism: Rattus norvegicus (Norway rat)
Lineage: Eukaryota; Metazoa; Chordata; Mammalia; Rodentia; Muridae
Source: Ensembl